This 1399-nucleotide ribosomal RNA is filed under the name Kocuria sp. CTDE1. Its description in RNAcentral is "16S ribosomal RNA". It matches the Rfam family "Bacterial small subunit ribosomal RNA". Lineage: Bacteria; Bacillati; Actinomycetota; Actinomycetes; Micrococcales; Micrococcaceae. The record is from RNAcentral.
AGUCGAACGAUGAUGCCCAGCUUGCUGGGCGGAUUAGUGGCGAACGGGUGAGUAAUACGUGAGUAACCUGCCCUUGACUCUGGGAUAAGCCUGGGAAACUGGGUCUAAUACUGGAUACUACCGUCCACCGCAUGGUGGGUGGUGGAAAGGGUUUUACUGGUUUUGGAUGGGCUCACGGCCUAUCAGCUUGUUGGUGGGGUAAUGGCUCACCAAGGCGACGACGGGUAGCCGGCCUGAGAGGGUGACCGGCCACACUGGGACUGAGACACGGCCCAGACUCCUACGGGAGGCAGCAGUGGGGAAUAUUGCACAAUGGGCGGAAGCCUGAUGCAGCGACGCCGCGUGAGGGAUGACGGCCUUCGGGUUGUAAACCUCUUUCAGUAGGGAAGAAGCGAGAGUGACGGUACCUGCAGAAGAAGCGCCGGCUAACUACGUGCCAGCAGCCGCGGUAAUACGUAGGGCGCAAGCGUUGUCCGGAAUUAUUGGGCGUAAAGAGCUCGUAGGCGGUUUGUCGCGUCUGCUGUGAAAGCCCGGGGCUCAACCCCGGGUCUGCAGUGGGUACGGGCAGACUAGAGUGCAGUAGGGGAGACUGGAAUUCCUGGUGUAGCGGUGAAAUGCGCAGAUAUCAGGAGGAACACCGAUGGCGAAGGCAGGUCUCUGGGCUGUUACUGACGCUGAGGAGCGAAAGCAUGGGGAGCGAACAGGAUUAGAUACCCUGGUAGUCCAUGCCGUAAACGUUGGGCACUAGGUGUGGGGGACAUACCACGUUUUCCGCGCCGUAGCUAACGCAUUAAGUGCCCCGCCUGGGGAGUACGGCCGCAAGGCUAAAACUCAAAGGAAUUGACGGGGGCCCGCACAAGCGGCGGAGCAUGCGGAUUAAUUCGAUGCAACGCGAAGAACCUUACCAAGGCUUGACAUUCACCGGACCGCCCCAGAGAUGGGGUUUCCCUUCGGGGCUGGUGGACAGGUGGUGCAUGGUUGUCGUCAGCUCGUGUCGUGAGAUGUUGGGUUAAGUCCCGCAACGAGCGCAACCCUCGUUCUAUGUUGCCAGCACGUGAUGGUGGGGACUCAUAGGAGACUGCCGGGGUCAACUCGGAGGAAGGUGGGGAUGACGUCAAAUCAUCAUGCCCCUUAUGUCUUGGGCUUCACGCAUGCUACAAUGGCCGGUACAAAGGGUUGCGAUACUGUGAGGUGGAGCUAAUCCCAAAAAGCCGGUCUCAGUUCGGAUUGAGGUCUGCAACUCGACCUCAUGAAGUCGGAGUCGCUAGUAAUCGCAGAUCAGCAACGCUGCGGUGAAUACGUUCCCGGGCCUUGUACACACCGCCCGUCAAGUCACGAAAGUUGGUAACACCCGAAGCCGGUGGCCUAACCCCUUGUGGGAGGGAGCCGUCGAAGGUGG